This 22-nucleotide microRNA is filed under the name Apis mellifera (honey bee). RNAcentral describes it as "ame-miR-6064-5p". The record is from miRBase by way of RNAcentral. Lineage: Eukaryota; Metazoa; Arthropoda; Insecta; Hymenoptera; Apidae.
UUUGAAAUUUUGCAACGAGACG